AACGAACGCUGGCGGCAGGCCUAACACAUGCAAGUCGAGCGCUCCUCUUCGGAGGGGAGCGGCGAACGGGUGAGUAACGCGUGGGAACGUACCUUUCGGUUCGGGACAACCCUGGGAAACUGGGGCUAAUACCGGAUACGCUCUACGGAGGAAAGAUUUAUCGCCGAGAGAUCGGCCCGCGUUGGAUUAGCUUGUUGGUGAGGUAAUGGCUCACCAAGGCUACGAUCUAUAGCUGGUCUGAGAGGAUGAUCAGCCACACUGGGACUGAGACACGGCCCAGACUCCUACGGGAGGCAGCAGUGGGGAAUCUUGGACAAUGGGGGCAACCCUGAUCCAGCCAUGCCGCGUGAGUGAAGAAGGCCUUAGGGUUGUAAAGCUCUUUCAGCAGGGACGAUAAUGACGGUACCUGCAGAAGAAGCCCCGGCUAACUCCGUGCCAGCAGCCGCGGUAA
Molecule: ribosomal RNA, 451 nt
Filed under: uncultured bacterium
Lineage: Bacteria
Description: bacterial SSU rRNA
Rfam family: Bacterial small subunit ribosomal RNA
Source: RNAcentral